GACGAACGCUGGCGGCGUGCUUAACACAUGCAAGUCGAACGGAAAGGCCUCUUUCGGGGGGUACUCGAGUGGCGAACGGGUGAGUAACACGUGAGUAAACUGCCCUUGACUUUGGGAGAACUUCAGGAAACUGGGGCUAAUACCGGAUAGGAGCUCCUGCUGCAUGGUGGGGGUUGGAAAGAUUCGGCGGUUGGGGAUGGACUCGCGGCUUAUCAGCUUGUUGGUGGGGUAGUGGCUUACCAAGGCCUUGACGGGUAGCCGGCCUGUGAGGGUGACCGGCCACAUUGGGACUGAGAUACGGCCCAGACUCCUACGGGAGGCAGCAGUGGGGAAUAUUGCACAAUGGGUGGAAGCCUGAUGCAGCAACGCCGUGUGCGGGAUGACGGCCUUCGGGUUGUAAACCGCUUUCGCUCAUGACGAAGCUUUGUGUGACGGUAGUGGGUAAAGAAGCACCGGCUAACUACGUG
This 467-nucleotide ribosomal RNA is filed under the name uncultured bacterium. RNAcentral's name for it is "partial 16S ribosomal RNA". It matches the Rfam family "Bacterial small subunit ribosomal RNA", at positions 28 to 507 of the family's 1533-position model. The record is from RNAcentral.